GUGCUUGUAGUCUAAUGGUAGGACAUCUGGCUUCGAACCAGUUCGUGGGGGUUCGAUUCCUCCUGAGCAUU
Molecule: transfer RNA, 71 nt
Filed under: Blastococcus fimeti
Lineage: Bacteria; Bacillati; Actinomycetota; Actinomycetes; Geodermatophilales; Geodermatophilaceae
Description: Blastococcus sp. DSM 44205 tRNA_Arg_TCG
Rfam family: tRNA
About the family: Transfer RNA (tRNA) molecules are approximately 80 nucleotides in length.
Source: RNAcentral